GGGAACCUUUAGAUGGUGCAAGGGUGCAUCUCUUAGCAAGGUUACAGUGGAAAUCAAAGAAAAAGACUCGAGUAGGUGAAUCGCUGCAGUUCUUUGCACCUUUCUGCUACCAGCUGUCAGUCAGCUACAAGUGGCCAAAAACUCCACCGGAUACCUUUUUUUGCAAACAGUGAAAGUUUGCUGAUAAAUUAAAUAUGGUCAUUUAAUCUCUGGGAGCUUCUCUCUGAGAGUCCUUCCUGUCUGCCCAGGGACUGAAAGCUGAACUCGCUGUGCUCCCGGCCUCUGCUGAUGUGCCCCGUCACUCAGAAUUCACACCGAUGACGACCGACGGACCCACACUUUAAGAUGCUUGGAUGAGUUUUAAUCUCGGAGCCCUCAUGCAUAUAUUGAAGCCAUCGAGUGUCUGUAUCUGUGUGCUGCUGUCGAUGACGGACAGAGAGAGGAGAAGACAUCUGCAACAAGUAGUGCAGAAUAAGAAAGAGCAGAGGGAGCAACGGAGGGAGUUCUUUCACAGAGUAAAGGCAGUGCCAUUGAUUUCCCAUGCUUGUGUUAAUUACUUUCCUCGCCCCCGGACAUGAUCAGUCCAUAAAUCACUCUGACUCGUGAGAAGACUUCAAGUUACCCACAAAUAAAAGUUAUUACAAUGAA
Molecule: long non-coding RNA, 648 nt
Organism: Centropristis striata (black sea bass)
Lineage: Eukaryota; Metazoa; Chordata; Actinopteri; Perciformes; Serranidae
Exons: 4
Source: RefSeq, a predicted model, not a curated record